Dreissena polymorpha is the source of this 1217-nucleotide long non-coding RNA. RefSeq lists it as uncharacterized. The transcript is spliced from 3 exons. The record is from RefSeq and is a predicted model, not a curated record. NCBI's taxonomy places the organism in Eukaryota, Metazoa, Mollusca, Bivalvia, Myida, Dreissenidae.
UUUGCAUAUGCUACCAUCAUAUCCAUUUUCUUAAUUUGCAAUAAAAUAAUAAAAUGCCAAACAUGACCUGUGUUACAUAAACUGUCAACAAAAUAACAAGACAAUACCUAAAAACACCCUUAUUUCACACCACUAACAAUAAACAGAUAACAAUCUGUCAGGCAUUCAGAGCUAAACAGGGUACUGAUUAUCUAGGGGUAGAUAAGGCUACUGAUGGGGUUUGCCUAGAGAUAAGGCUGUGUGGAAUAAGAUAUAAGGCUUUUGAUUGGCUAUUGCACUGAGGAAGUUAUCUUUUUGAAAACAACAACUUUUGAAAAAUAAGCUGGUGUCAGCAAUUGAAUAUUGAGCUAAAUUUAAUUCAGCAACAUUAAUAUAAAGAAGUGAAAGACUUAUAAUGGUAGUGUAAAAUGUCUUGAAAUUCUGUCAGCAUGAAGUAUUGUGUGAUGAAAACAAUGUGUUUUUUACUGCAAUGUGGAAAUCAAUAAUAAGUUGGUUGGAAAGGAGGUUGAACUGCCUGUUGUUGUUUUUGGAAUACUGAAGAACAGUUUUAACAGGUUAAACUCUUGCCACAAGGCAAAAUUGACAUCGAUGGGAAGAUCCUUUGGAAAGAAUGUGCAUCAUCGCCUGCCUGACGUAUGGACUUUUAAACCUGGUUUUUACCCUGCACAAGCUGGCAAACUUGAGGGGAACAAGAGUGGGAAAACCUCGCCCUGUCCUUGACCAAGAAAGCUCGAUUUGUUGAGAGAUCAACUGGCAUAAGAGAUGCUCAAGAGGAGAAGGACACAAGCAGCAUCAAUGGUACAACUACGUGUCGCUCCAGCGCCCGCUUUCCAGGUCUCUACCAGCUGCUUUCCAGGUCCCUCCACCCGCCAAGAUCAGGUCUAAUUCCCUGCACUGGCUGCUUUACAGGUCCCCUAGCAGUCAAGGUCUCUCCAGUAGCUGCUGUGCAGGUCCCAACACCGUAUGCCGUCAAGGUUCCUCCAUAAGCUGAAAUCCAGGUUCCUCAUUCCACUGCGGUGCAGGUACCUCCAACAGCUGAGAUCCAGGUCUCUGCAGCAGCUGCGGUCUAAAUACUCCACCCGCAGUGGUCCAUUGCGGUCAACCUUUUGCUUUAAAAUCUUCCAUAAAUGUCUAUUAUUUUAUAAUGUAUUGUAAAAAUAAUCUGUUUGUAUAAAUUUGCGGUGUACUAUUUUUGUCAUAUAAACAUAAUUUUCGUA